This is a ribosomal RNA of Aspergillus pseudoviridinutans, 192 nucleotides long. Lineage: Eukaryota; Fungi; Ascomycota; Eurotiomycetes; Eurotiales; Aspergillaceae. The record is from RefSeq and is a predicted model, not a curated record.
AGUCAUAAGUUCGUGGCACAGGCUAAACUCGUCUGGAAACUAGAAGGACAGGAUGUUUUGCAAGUACUGAUAUGGGGCUCCUUAGGGUCUCGUAAUUGGAAUGAGUACAAUCUAAAUCCUUUAACGAGGAACAAUUGGAGGGCAAGUCUGGUGCCAGCAGCCGCGGUAAUUCCAGUUCCAAUAGCGUAUAUU